CACACACAGAAGGGUGUUGCUUAAGAUGUAUACAGGGAAGAUAUUCCUGCCAAAAUAAGAGGCCAGGCUGCAACCCUUAUGCAACUCCUUGUGAAAUAUUUUGGAUAAUUUCUACAUUUAGGACCUAAGGCAUUCAGUAAAAUUGUGACGUAGUAGCUAUAAAAAUCCUUUGAAAUAAUAAUUUAAAAAAAAGUUUCAAGAUAGGUUAUGGAGACUAGACAGACUGGAAUGUUGUGACGCAGUGUAGUCAACAGCCAAGGCGCCCAUCGCACGUAUACAACUGAAAACAAGAACCAUUCACAAGCGUAUUUGAGUCCACCAGGAAGACAAUCCUGUUCUUAAUGUAGGACAUUCGGAGCCCCUUUCACACUUUCGACCUUCUAUGUCCUUGCAGCGCAAAUAAAUCUACGCAGACGCCAUGAGGACGGAAACAAAACGAAAAUUUACUGCCGAGAGACUUUGAACUGCAAGUGUAUUGAGAGUUGAUGGCCAUUGAUGGAACACCAAUCAGCUUCCUUUUAGUUUAUACAAAAUCUCCCCGAUUUCUUGUUAUAGUUCUGGCGUGCUGCGGGUGACAUCGUCCAGGAAGCAACACGUUACUGCUGCUGACUUACAAGGCUGCAGCCAGAUUGAGUAUCAUUGGCUAGAAUCCUAAAGAAAAUGAAUCAAAUAAUAUAAGAUAAAGCAGAUACAGUUUUCAGUAAAUUAAAUCUUUUGCUAUGUGACUGAAAUAAAAACAACCUGCCACUUUGGGGGCUGUAUGAAUGUGAUACAAGAUGAUUCAAUCAGCAUUGUAGAAACAUUAGCUUUCUGUAAAUGUCUCCCCUAACCAGAGAAACACUGAAGACACAGUAGGCCCCAUCUCGCAGCAUGGUGCCUGUACAUUUAAAGACUAAUUUAAGUGUUUUGUUUUUACAGUACCUACUGUAUAUAGGAGCUAGUUUCACUGGUUUCAGUGUUUGUUAUCAAUGAUAUUUAUGCUGUUCUAGACAAAAAGGGUACGGUUUGUGAUACGGUUAGUAAGAGCAGGUUCUUUAUUAUUAGUGGCAGAAGGGGCUUAUUACAAAUUGUGUUAAGGUAGAUAUUACAAAACACCAGUAAGGCAGUAUAGUAGACUAUUAAUCAGCUUGUAUACGACACGUUGAAAAAAGUGACAAAAAAAACUCUAUAGAAAACUGUAACCUAAUUAUGUGUACCAUCCCUUAGCUUUCACCGGCAGAACUAAUACUGUAAGUAUCUCAGGGUGUGAUCUGUAAUGUCCAAUUAUCCUGCUUGUUAUAUAAUGUCCCCAUUUAUUCCAGACUGCUUUGAAUGCAGCAUUCACUGAAAAUAAAUGAAGGCAUCACAUGUUGCGCAUGGA
Long non-coding RNA from Acipenser ruthenus (sterlet), 1360 nucleotides. RefSeq lists it as uncharacterized. NCBI's taxonomy places the organism in Eukaryota, Metazoa, Chordata, Actinopteri, Acipenseriformes, Acipenseridae. The transcript is spliced from 2 exons. The record is from RefSeq and is a predicted model, not a curated record.